Molecule: non-coding RNA, 72 nt
Organism: Candidatus Portnoybacteria bacterium RBG_13_40_8
Lineage: Bacteria; Candidatus Portnoyibacteriota
Source: Rfam
GGCCCGAUGGCGAAGAGGUAACGCGGCUGUCUGCAAAACAGCUAUGCGCCGGUUCAAGUCCGGCUCGGGCCU